This 133-nucleotide small nucleolar RNA is filed under the name Aptenodytes forsteri (emperor penguin). RNAcentral also lists the same sequence under 1 other name. The record is from RNAcentral. Lineage: Eukaryota; Metazoa; Chordata; Aves; Sphenisciformes; Spheniscidae.
AUGCACAUUUCAUUGACCUGCUUUUGUUACCAGUGACGAGCAGUGUUAUUUCUGAUGUGCUAAAGAAAUAGUUGAAGGCUAAUUAGCAGCAUAGCUAUAUGUAGUUACUGCUGCCAGUCUCCUUCAUACAAAG